GUUGGUGGGAUAGCAGCCUACCAAGGCAACGAUCAGUAGCCGGCCUGAGAGGGUGGACGGCCACACUGGGACUGAGACACGGCCCAGACUCCUACGGGAGGCAGCAGUGGGGAAUAUUGCGCAAUGGGGGAAACCCUGACGCAGCGACGCCGCGUGAGCGAAGAAGGCCUUAGGGUCGUAAAGCUCUGUUGUAAGGGACGAAUGUUUAUCUGGCGAACAGUCAGAUAAAGUGACGGUACCUUACCAGCAAGCCCCGGCUAACUACGUGCCAGCAGCCGCGGUAAGACGUAGGGGGCGAGCGUUGUCCGGAAUUACUGGGCGUAAAGAGCACGUAGGCGGGUAAUUAAGUCAGAUGUGAAAGACCGGGGCCCAACCUCGGGGUUGCAUCUGAAACUGGUUAUCUUGAGGGCAGGAGAGGAAAGUGGAAUUCCUGGUGUAGCGGUGAAAUGCGUAGAAAUCAGGAGGAAUACCAGUGGCGAAGGCGGCUUUCUGGACUGACCCUGACGCUGAGGUGCGAAAGCGUGGGUAGCAAACAGGAUUAGAUACCCUGGUAGUCCACGCUGUAAACGAUGGAUACUAGGUGUGGGAGGUAUCGACCCCUUCCGU
RNAcentral lists this ribosomal RNA (606 nucleotides) under uncultured bacterium. RNAcentral's name for it is "bacterial SSU rRNA". It matches the Rfam family "Bacterial small subunit ribosomal RNA", at positions 248 to 844 of the family's 1533-position model. The record is from RNAcentral.